CUCCCAUUUCUGUAAUAGAUUUUUAAAAAAUGGAUCUGCUGAUUACAUCUAAAAGCUCUCCUUCCAACAUCUUCAACUCUGGCUCAGGGCAAGAUGUGGCGGUCCCCGCUCUCGUGCCUGAGGGUUAAAAGUCUCAGGAGCUGGCUCAGGCAGGUCUUCAGGGGCAGGGCUCAUUUCUGGCCCCGAGAGAGGAACUGCAGCCCCUUGCAACCUGCUGCUCCCUAUUUAAAGAGAGUGAGUUGGAGGUGGAGGUGUGGGGGGAGGAGAGGGAGAGAAAUGAACAUGCUUUGGAUGUAGAAUCAAUUUGAGUGUGACUCAAUCCCUCGGCAUUAAACUUUUCCCCUCAAUUAUUUCAAAUUUAUGUCUAUCUGCUGAAGAACCACGGUCUUAGCAUCAUCGGAGAGCAAAAUGGGAAGAUACGACCCACACUCAUGGCAUUUAUAUUCAUGAUGAAUCUAUGUAUCAAUCAGAAGCUAGGAAAAGGCUGAGAUGCUGAUUGUCCCCGCCCUGCAUGGAAUCCUGGACCAUUCUGGAAACUGGAGAGCUUGUGAAGUCGUGUCUGCCGAAAAACCACAUCUGGUUCACCACCGCCUCAACAGAUACACAAUGAAAUACAAAGGCCAAUUCUGCGGUGUACACAAUCCGUGUCAGUUUACCCAGAGGAUUCCAGAUGGAAUGAACUCCGCAGACGGGGUUCACGGAGCGCAGGCGAUGCUGGGGGAGGAGGUGAGCCACGGGUGGGGCUUGAAACCCUCAAGGAGCUCCCAGGGGUACCGUGAUCAGUCCACGGGGUGGGGGGUGGGGUGGAGCUCUCGCCCUGGGCGAGGUGGGGGGGGACCUGUGAAUCUUUGCAAACUCCGCCUUUCCGUGUUGGUUGACCAGCCACGCUUUUGCAGAGUUGCAAUUUCUCAAAGUAACUUUUUUUCCCCAGCCCUCAUUGUCUCCCUUGGAAAUCGUAAGGGGAAUAUUGGUGCUGGGAGGACAUCUCGCGCUGCAGCGGUGGAGGCGGAGGCGUUUUACACGUUGUUAAGGUAGGAGUGACGGCAUCUGUAUUUAAACCUAAUAGAAAAUAUCAGCCACCGUUUCUUGAAUGUCUGCUCUAGGCCAGAGGCCGGGCUUAAGAAUUUUCUUUGCCUGGACACAGUUCUGUGAGGUCUCCGGAGGUGUGGCUCUUGAGCGUUUUAUAGAUGUGGUAAAGUGACCUUCCCCAAACUUGAGUGGCUUCGUGUUUUUGAUUGUUUACCUAAUCUCAUUGAUGUUGAGUAUAUGCCCAGGAGUUUGUUUAUUUAUUUAUUUGCUUUUUAGGGCCACACCUUUGGAAGUUCCUGGGCUGGGGGCCGAAUGGGAGCUGCCGUGACCCGCC
This 1363-nucleotide long non-coding RNA is filed under the name Sus scrofa (pig). RNAcentral's name for it is "lncRNA (ENSSSCG00060072327.1)". Lineage: Eukaryota; Metazoa; Chordata; Mammalia; Artiodactyla; Suidae. The record is from RNAcentral.